This 360-nucleotide long non-coding RNA is filed under the name Chloebia gouldiae (Gouldian finch). RNAcentral describes it as "Erythrura gouldiae (Gouldian finch) lncRNA (ENSEGOG00005015888.1)". The record is from RNAcentral. Lineage: Eukaryota; Metazoa; Chordata; Aves; Passeriformes; Passeridae.
AAGAAUUCUUCACUCCUGAUUAUUUCCUUCCUCCUGCUCUUGAGGGAAGGUCAGAACCAGAGGUAAAAAUAACAUUUUUUGGACAUAAGUUAUACAACAUGUGGUUUAAUUGUGCUCCCAUUUGAUUUGAAGAGAGAUCUGUAAAAUGUGAGAUUUUUUUUCUCCAUUAUUAUUCUUUACUUUCAAAAUAGUACCUGCAAAUAAAGAUUUAGAACUCAUACGCUGAGGGCAAAGCAGAAGCUGUUUGUGCAGGAUUUUUACAGAAAUUACCUGGAGAUGCAGCAUCAGGAAUUCAGGCUCCAGGAGGAAAAAUACCAUUCUGCAGCACAACACCACAGAGCUGUGGCAGUAACAAGCUGG